GCCGGGUUAGUUUAAUGGUAGAACAGAGAGCUUGUACCUCUCGGGCGUCCGCUCGAUUCGGACACGCGGCUCCA
RNAcentral lists this transfer RNA (74 nucleotides) under uncultured archaeon. RNAcentral describes it as "tRNA-Thr(tgt)". It matches the Rfam family "tRNA". Rfam says of the family: Transfer RNA (tRNA) molecules are approximately 80 nucleotides in length. Their secondary structure includes four short double-helical elements and three loops (D, anti-codon, and T loops). The record is from RNAcentral.